Molecule: ribosomal RNA, 435 nt
Filed under: uncultured bacterium
Lineage: Bacteria
Description: partial 16S ribosomal RNA
Rfam family: Bacterial small subunit ribosomal RNA
Source: RNAcentral
AGCGAACGCUGGCGGCAGGCUUAACACAUGCAAGUCGAGCGGGCAUAGCAAUAUGUCAGCGGCAGACGGGUGAGUAACGCGUGGUAACGUACCUUUUGGUUCGGAACCACACAGGGAAACUUGUGCUAAUACCGGAUAAGCCCUUACGGGGAAAGAUUUAUCGCCGCAAGAUCGGCCCGCGUCUGAUUAGCUAGUUGGUGAGGUAAUGUCUCACCAAGGCGACGAUCAGUAGCUGGUCUGAGAGGAUGAUCAGCCACAUUGGGACUGAGACACGGCCCAAACUCCUACGGGAGGGAGGAGUGGGGAAUAGUGGACAAUGGGCGCAAGCCUGAUCCAGCCAUGCCGCGUGAGUGAUGAAGGCCCUAGGGUUGUAAAGCGCUUUUGUGCGGGAAGAUAAUGACGGUACCGAAAGAAUAAGCCCCGGCUAACUUCGUG